AACGAACGCUGGCGGCAGGCCUAACACAUGCAAGUCGAACGCCCUGGCAACAGGGAGUGGCAGACGGGUGAGUAACGCGUGGGAACGUGCCCUUCGGUUCGGAAUAACUCAGGGAAACUUGAGCUAAUACCGGAUACGUUCGAGAGCAGAAAGAUUUAUCGCCGAAGGAUCGGCCUGCGUCCGAUUAGCUAGUUGGUGAGGUAACGGCUCACCAAGGCGACGAUCGGUAGCUGGUCUGAGAGGAUGAUCAGCCACACUGGGACUGAGACACGGCCCAGACUCCUACGGGAGGCAGCAGUGGGGAAUAUUGGACAAUGGGCGCAAGCCUGAUCCAGCCAUGCCGCGUGAGUGAUGAAGGCCCUAGGGUUGUAAAGCUCUUUCGCCAGGGACGAUAAUGACGGUACCUGGAUAAGAAGCCCCGGCUAACUUCGUGCCAGCAGCCGCCGUAA
RNAcentral lists this ribosomal RNA (449 nucleotides) under uncultured bacterium. Its description in RNAcentral is "partial 16S ribosomal RNA". It matches the Rfam family "Bacterial small subunit ribosomal RNA", at positions 29 to 523 of the family's 1533-position model. The record is from RNAcentral.